RNAcentral lists this ribosomal RNA (253 nucleotides) under uncultured prokaryote. RNAcentral describes it as "partial 16S ribosomal RNA". It matches the Rfam family "Bacterial small subunit ribosomal RNA", at positions 524 to 776 of the family's 1533-position model. The record is from RNAcentral.
UACGUAGGCAGCGAGCGUUGUUCGGAGUUACUGGGCGUAAAGGGUGUGUAGGCGGUUCUUUUAGUUUGGUGUGAAAUCUCCCGGCUCAACCGGGAGGGUGCGCCGAAUACUGAGGGACUAGAGUACGGGAGAGGAAAGUGGAAUUCCUGGUGUAGCGGUGAAAUGCGUAGAUAUCAGGAGGAACACCGGUGGUGUAGACGGCUUUCUGGACCGUAACUGACGCUGAGACACGAAAGCGUGGGUAGCAAACAGG